RNAcentral lists this long non-coding RNA (230 nucleotides) under Salvia miltiorrhiza (redroot sage). Its description in RNAcentral is "long non-coding RNA (SMIL_LNC000971)". The record is from RNAcentral. Lineage: Eukaryota; Viridiplantae; Streptophyta; Magnoliopsida; Lamiales; Lamiaceae.
CAACAUGCAUUUGUAUCUCCCAUCAUCAAGAUAUCACACUCAUGACAAACUUCAAAUUUUAGUCUCAAUGACUUGCAGUCCUCGCCAAAAAGAUAUAGAAUAUAAGAACUCUCAACUCUCAAGUGUAUUAAUUAACAUGGACGUGUAUACGCUCAGUUCAAGCAGAACAAGUACUCAACCAUAAGCUUGUCAAUCGUCUCACCUCUCCACCACUCAAUGUGUGCUCCUAU